RNAcentral lists this ribosomal RNA (448 nucleotides) under uncultured bacterium. Its description in RNAcentral is "bacterial SSU rRNA". It matches the Rfam family "Bacterial small subunit ribosomal RNA", at positions 330 to 793 of the family's 1533-position model. The record is from RNAcentral.
UCCAGACUCCUACGGGAGGCAGCAGUGGGGAAUAUUGCGCAAUGGGGGAAACCCUGACGCAGCAACGCCGCGUGAGUGAGGAAGUAUCUCGGUAUGUAAAGCUCUAUCAGCGGGGAAGAAAGAGGACGGUACCCGACUAAGAAGCCCCGGCUAACUACGUGCCAGCAGCCGCGGUAAUACGUAGGGGGCGAGCGUUAUCCGGAUUUACUGGGUGUAAAGGGAGCGUAGACGGCAGUGCAAGUCUGGAGUGAAAGGCGGGGGCUCAACCCCCGGACUGCUCUGGAAACUGUACGGCUGGAGUGCAGGAGAGGUAAGUGGAAUUCCUAGUGUAGCGGUGAAAUGCGUAGAUAUUAGGAGGAACACCAGUGGCGAAGGCGGCUUACUGGACUGUAACUGACGUUGAGGCUCGAAAGCGUGGGGAGCAAACAGGAUUAGAUACCCGCGUACG